RNAcentral lists this RNase P RNA (485 nucleotides) under Spirochaetales bacterium. Its description in RNAcentral is "RNase P RNA component class A". It matches the Rfam family "Bacterial RNase P class A". Rfam says of the family: Ribonuclease P (RNase P) is a ubiquitous endoribonuclease, found in archaea, bacteria and eukarya as well as chloroplasts and mitochondria. Its best characterised activity is the generation of mature 5'-ends of tRNAs by cleaving the 5'-leader elements of precursor-tRNAs. The record is from RNAcentral. Lineage: Bacteria; Pseudomonadati; Spirochaetota; Spirochaetia; Spirochaetales.
AAUGCAGGUCGGAUAGUCGCUGAACAGUUCCUCUAGGUGCUGUUUAGAGGAAAGUCCGGGCUCCGCAGGACAGGAUGCCGGGUAACUCCCGGGCAUUCAUUUCGAUUAACCCGGUUUCUCCGGUAGUAUCGGAGUGUAAUGACAGAAAGUGCCGCAGAAAAUAUACCGCCGGCAAUUUGGUUGUUAUUUUGUUCGCAAAGUUAACGGCCGGAAGUGGAGUUUGUUUGCAGACUCCUAAAUAUUUCGAUUGCGAAGUAUUCCGGUAAGGGUGAAAAGGCGAGGUAAGAGCUCACCGGGCUUAAGGUAACUUCAGUCGCAAGGUAAACCUCAUUCGGAGCAAGGCCAAGAUGAAACGGGAUAGUCCGUCCAUAACGUUUCGGGUAGGCUGCAUAAAACUGUUGAUAACAACAGCAUCAGAUAGAUGGCUGUCGAUCUUUGCUUUGGCAUUGGUUUAACAGAACCCGGCUUAUAGACCUGCAUUUUUU